CGCUGAGGAGCGAAAGCGUGGGGAGCGAACAGGAUUAGAUACCCUGGUAGUCCACGCCGUAAACGUUGGGCGCUAGAUGUAGGGACCUUUCCACGGUUUCUGUGUCGUAGCUAACGCAUUAAGCGCCCCGCCUGGGGAGUACGGCCGCAAGGCUAAAACUCAAAGGAAUUGACGGGGGCCCGCACAAGCGGCGGAGCAUGCGGAUUAAUUCGAUGCAACGCGAAGAACCUUACCAAGGCUUGACAUACACCGGAAACGGCCAGAGAUGGUCGCCCCCUUGUGGUCGGUGUACAGGUGGUGCAUGGUUGUCGUCAGCUCGUGUCGUGAGAUGUUGGGUUAAGUCCCGCAACGAGCGCAACCCUCGUUCUAUGUUGCCAGCGCGUUAUGGCGGGGACUCAUAGGAGACUGCCGGGGUCAACUCGGAGGAAGGUGGGGAUGACGUCAAAUCAUCAUGCCCCUUAUGUCUUGGGCUUCACGCAUGCUACAAUGGCCGGUACAAAGGGCUGCGAUACCGUAAGGUGGAGCGAAUCCCAAAAAGCCGGUCUCAGUUCGGAUUGAGGUCUGCAACUCGACCUCAUGAAGUCGGAGUCGCUAGUAAUCGCAGAUCAGCAACGCUGCGGUGAAUACGUUCCCGGGCCUUGUACACACCGCCCGUCAAGUCAUGAAAGUCGGUAACACCCGAAGCCGGUGGCCUAACCCUUGUGGAAGGAGCCGUCGAAGGUGGGAUCGGUGAUUAGGACUAAGU
Molecule: ribosomal RNA, 745 nt
Filed under: Curtobacterium sp.
Lineage: Bacteria; Bacillati; Actinomycetota; Actinomycetes; Micrococcales; Microbacteriaceae
Description: bacterial SSU rRNA
Rfam family: Bacterial small subunit ribosomal RNA
Source: RNAcentral